AUGAAAAUAUAUAGUACAAGUGAAAGGGCCUUGCUUCACAUCGAGUGGGUCUGGCUCUGUGAAAACCUCACUAUGUUGCCCUUAUUUUUCUCAUUUUGCCACAAACAGAUGAGAACAUGGCAACAGCUGGCAGUGGGCACCCUGUCCGUGGGCUCACAUUCCAGGAACCACUGGGGCCUUGCAGUCCCCACCUGGGCCCAAGGACCAAGGAGUCCAGUGACCUCAUGCCGUCACCUCCCACAGACCAGGGAGGCUGCCCUCAAGAAUAUGUCCUCCAUUUACUCUGCAUUGCUGAUGACCGGCCAGGCGCCCAGAGGCUGGGAAAAAGUAGAUAUGGCCCCCAAGUCCCACCUUGGGAGGCGUCCUGCUGGAGAGAAAACCCAUUCUCCACUUAGGGCAUUUCCAUGCUCAGGGCCCCAGAUGUAAGGGUAAAUCCUGAGGUAAGCAAAGCCCGGGGUUCUUUGGGAGCUGACCAAGCACUGGCUGGGAUCUGGGGCUAGGUUGCUCAAAGCCUCCUUUAUCUGCUCACGACUGAGAGCCGGCUCCUUGGGCCUCUGUUCAGCUCUGGCUGAGGGCGUCCACACAACACGACCCUAAACCCACUGCCUGGAGGCCACCUGUGCCAGGGGAGAGGGCCGGGAGGCAGGGGCCUGCUUCUCACCCGGGCCUUGGUCCCAUUUCAUACUUCCUGCCCACCCUCUGCCCUGAACUCCAGACUGGGUGCAGGAGGGGUGUUUCAACUAACGUGUCCAAAGUGUGAGCUCCCAGGAUCCCUCCAAACCUGCCCCUCCUCCAGCCUGCCCCCCCCCCCCAACUGCCUUCUUCCAGAAUCGGGCAGACCUUAGCACAGGCCUUCCAGCUCUCACCCAGCAUCCAGUCUAUCAGAAAAUGCUGUCACUCUGCCUUGGAAUUAGUCCCUCACCUGCCUCCGUCGCCAUGACCUGAUCUAAGCCAACAUCAUCACAAUGGCAUCUGCCCUCGGCCCCUUCACUCUAUUCCCAGCACAGUGACCAGGGAUUUUAUUAAAAAAUAAGUUAGAUUAGGGACGCCUGGGUAGCUCAGUCGGUUAAGCGUCCGACUUCAGCUCAGGUCAUGAUCUCCUUGUUCGUUAAGUUCGAGCCCCGCAUCGGGCUCUGUGCUGACGGGUCAGAGCCUGGAGCCUGCUUCACUUCGGAUUCUCUGUCUCCCUCUCUCUUUGCCCCUCCCCUGCUCAUACUCUGUCUCUCAAAAGGUGAAUAAACAUUAAAAAAAAAAAGUUAUAUUUUGUCA
Molecule: long non-coding RNA, 1269 nt
Filed under: Felis catus (domestic cat)
Lineage: Eukaryota; Metazoa; Chordata; Mammalia; Carnivora; Felidae
Description: lncRNA (ENSFCAG00000051461.1)
Source: RNAcentral